Molecule: long non-coding RNA, 15798 nt
Organism: Ruditapes philippinarum (Manila clam)
Lineage: Eukaryota; Metazoa; Mollusca; Bivalvia; Venerida; Veneridae
Exons: 2
Source: RefSeq, a predicted model, not a curated record
AUUUCAAAUUAUUUAGAAACUGUUGUAAAUUUCACAUACAUCAACUGCAUUACAGUUGACUUUGAACAUCCUCUGAUUUUGUUAAAAUGCAUUCUAGUACAGGAUAUUCAAGUAAUUCAAAAUUGGUUAAGAUAUAAUGUAACGAUGCAGCAAUGUUUAUACUGAUAAUGAGCAUAAUAAUAUGCAAAAACUAAAGUUGUUGAAUUAACAUAAGGGAAUGUUUUCCAUAUAUAAUGACACACACCACAAUUUGUGGAUGUGAACGAUAGGGUUUGUGUGCCUUCAAACGUUACACGGUAAUACUUAAGUAGGCAUAUCUUUUACAUUUAGUAAAUAGUACAAGGAUGCCAUACAUGGAAGUCACUUUUGAAAACACGAAUAAAGAGAACUGAAUAGUAAGCCUGUGCCUUCUUUUUUUAAAGUGCUAUGUUGGGUUGUAGAAAACCCCAUAUUUUUUACCAAGUGUAUAUUAAAUUACCACGAAACAAUUCAAAGUUAACUAUGGAUAAUUCUGUUGUAUAACCAAAAACUUGUGAAUUUGUCCCAUUUUAAUGUUGAAAUAAAUAUUCAGUGCACUUGCCCCUCACCACUGUGGGUUCAAAUCCUGACAGGGACUUUGGAUUCUUUCAUGUGAGGAAGCUAUUCAGCUAGCUUAUGGAACGUCGGUGGUUCUACUCAGGUGCCCGUUCGUGCCUGAAAUAAUGCACGGAAAGGCACCUGAGGUCUUCCUCCACCAGUAAAGCUGGAACGUCGCGAUAUGACCUACACUGUGUCGAUGUGACGUAAAACCCCCUCAAAAAAAAAUAUUCAGUGUAUCCUAGCAUCUCAGUGUUUACCUCCAUUGGGAGGUAUUUUGAGUCAUAGGAUGUGAUUUAGCCUUUUAUUAUUAAAUAUAUGUAAGCUAACGUAGGUUAAGGUAUUUUUAUGCAUUGUACUUAAUCAAUAGCAACUCUAAAAUCUGUGUAUACAUGCUGUCAAUAGCUGUUACCUAGACUUGCUCUCUAUCUGAUCAAAAGCAGAGAACUAUUUUUAUACACAGAAUAUUUAUUAAGUUAAGUGAUGGCUUUCUAAGAGGUAUACAUUAUACAAUUAUUAACUAGUGUGAUAUUCACCGGCAGAUGACAUAUUGACCGAGGCGAUAGCCGAGAUCAAUAUGUCUUUCUGCUGCUGAAUAUCACCAUCAUAUUCAAUGGCACACUAGUCAAUAAUUGUUUUAUUAUAUGAAUGGGCUAUCAGAAUUUAAAGAAAAUCACAGACAGUACAACUUUAUACAGGUACAAUUUAUGCCUGUUUCGUUGAAGCACGGGAAAAAGAGGCACGUGAAAGGCGUGCAACAACUACGCGAACACUGGCAUACAAAAGUAAUUCAAAUUUAUACUCAUCAUUGCGGUUUAACUUUUAACUGUAUUGGAAAAGUAAUGAUAUUUUAAUCGAGAAAAACACCAUAAAGAACAAAACGCAACAAUUAUAUUUUAAUAAGCACGCGUUAUUAACAGUCUACGAUAUACAUGUAUGGUCAUUGAAUAUGAGUCUCAAUCUAUAAACCAAUUCAGCCAGUGAAUAUGAUACUACACCCAGUGAAUAUGAUUGUAUAAAAAGUUGUGUUGACUACUGUUUGGACCAUUGAGAUUGCAGCUAUAUCAUAAAAAUUGAUAAUCAACAUACAUACCUUUGAACUCAUUUAAAUAUUAUUAUUGAAAAACAAAAUGGUAAAACUUGGAAAAUAUAUAUAUACAGUAUGGUAAAAAUAAAAAAUUUUGUACGAAAGGGUACAUACAACUUUGGUUAUAAUUUAACUAUUGUUAAAAGUUUUUUCUUGUCAAGUCAUAUGCUAGAAUAAGGUUACUAAUGUAAUAGUAAAUGCUACUACUAGGAAAGACAACAGCCAGAAUUUGGUCUGUAUUAGUAUUUAGUCAUAUCAAAAUCUCUAUUCAUAUGUUGACUUGAAAAUUUGAAAGUGGUAAGGUAGCAGCUUAACUGUAAAUGUUACUCAUUCCUAUGCAAAUUGGAAUACCCUCAGUAAAAUUUAUUUGUCAUUGAAUAUAGUCUUAUCAAUAGUUUUUACUUCCUUGAAAAAUAUUUAACCUCAGGCAGUAAGUAGCCUGGUGAGUUUUUUUUUAUUUAUUUUUUUUAGUUUCUUUUUCUAGGAAAUGUGGUAUCUACAACAUUUUAAAACUUAUAGGCCUAUUAUAAAUCCUUUAAAGUCUGCUGAUGUUGAUUGAAUAAAGGCAUAGAAUGGCAAUCAUGCAAGUUAAUUAUGUUUGGUGAAUAUACAAUACAAUACAAUACAAUACACUUUAUUCCGCUUUAAACUUACAAAGUUUAUAGCAAUAACAACAACAUAAAUACAUGAGAAAUGGUUAACACAGGGUAUAUGAAUACUGUUGGAAAUUUACAACUACAAUAACGUACGAGACUUCAUUUUCAAUUGUUCAUAGAAAAAAAUAAUACAAUCAUAAUGACGUAUUUGGCUGACAUUUUAAUUACUCAUCGAUAAAAAAAAAAAUGUAAAAAUAAUGUACGAGACUUAAUUUGAAAUUUAGUAUAUAACAACAAUUAACACAUCAUAAAUUUGAUAACCUGUCAUUUCGUAACUUUGAUGCAAAGUAAAUAUAUUUUGCUAAGUUGGUAACAUUACUUUUAACAUUUGUCGACAUUAAAAUUUCAAAUUUCUUCAGUGUUGGCCAUCUGCAAAAAUAUCUUUUAAAGUAUUUCAUUCUUAGAUCUCUGUAUAACGGACAUACAAGAAGAAAGUGAUAUUCAGAUUCUAAAACUCCCAUUGAACAGCAUUUGCAUAAUCUAUUUUCUCUCAGAGUACCAUCAUAUCUCUCAGUUUCUAUGGCUAGGGAAUGUGCUGAUACUCUGAACUUAGUUAAUGCUAUGCGAUAUUUUACAACCGUUACGGUAUCUAAAUAUUUCUCCUGAUUGAAUGAAUGUUUAAAUAAACAAUAGGCUUCUAGUUUUCUAGAAUUGUUAAUAUCGCUGUACCAUGACUGAUAAAAGUCAUCGAAUAAUCUUUGUUUGAUAUGUAAAAUUGAUAUAUGAUCCACAACAUCAUUUUGGGACAACCAAAAGUAAUUAAGCCCAAUUUCCUGUAGUACAAGUUUUACCUGAUGAGCCCAGUUUUUCCCCCCAUAAGUAACAUUAUUGUCAGAGUCACAUUUAAGCAUUUCAUAAACUUGACCCAGAAUUUUAACAUUCGCAACUUACGUAUAACAAUUAACGGCACUCUGCCCAACUCCCCAUAAAGUGCAGAACUAUUUGUUGUCAUUUUUACGCAUAAUAAUUUUCUUAAAAAAUAACUUAACACCUUAAAGGUGUGGUAAAUGGAAACUACGCCGUUUCUUUUCGCCUACGGUAAAUACAGAAAAUGAGCAGAUAAAUAUGUUUAUUUACGAUGAUGAAGUGGGCGGGAAUAUGGGCGGAGCUUAUUUUAUUUCCUAUUGAAAAAAUGUUUAAAGCUGGAUUAUGCAGAUCCGAGACAAUGUAAAGCUGAGAAUGUAACUUCUGUUUUGUCGGCGUAUACACGAACAAUGAGUAUUCGAACACUUGGUAUUGCUACUAUCAGCAAAACAGUUAAUGUUUUGUCGUUUAACAAAAUGUAUUUUGUUGAAAUGCAUGUUUACAAUGUUAAAUCGGCAAACUCAAUCCAAGAAUGCAACAUUGGAGUUUACAUACAAAGAAAUACAAUUGUAUUUUGUCCGUUAACAAACUGUUCAACUCAGAUCAACAAGGCUGGAUUUUUGGCAACGAAUAGCCUCCAUACUUAUGAAACUCUUCAAAAGUUGAUCAAAUUAUAACUCUGGGGUCAAAAUUGACCUCGCUCAAGGUGUUCAUUGAUUUUCCUUAUAUGUAUUUAGUAAAAACUUUAAAAAAAAUUCUCCUUUUUGACAAAGGCUAGAAGUUAGAUAUUUGGCGUGAAAUAUUGUGUAGUGGACCUUUACCAAGAUUGUUAAAAUUAAAGUCCUUGAAUCAAAAUUGGCCAUGCCCCGGAGGUCAUUGAUUUUCAUUAUGUACAUAUAGUAAAAACUUAAAAAAUCUUCUUUUUCUGAACAUAUAAUGCUUAGAUUUAGAUUUUAGAUUUAAUGAUAUCAUCUAUAAUUAUGUCCUUUUACAAAGUUGUUCAUAGUUUGUUUCUAGUUUCAAAGUUGGCUGCACCCUGGGGGCCAUAGGUUUCCAAAUAUGGAAAAACACUCUAUGAUUUUAAAAAGUUUAAAUUAGUUAAUAUUUAUUUCAGCCCAAAUAUUUCUGGAAAUUGGUCAAAAGGAUUUCAAAAUAAUUUGGUACAAAUGUUCACUUUAAUAUGCAUUGAUGGAUUUUAAUAUAACUUAGUACCAAUGUUCUCCAUGUUAAGUUGAGUUUUCAAGUGCAAAAUGAAGAUCAAACUUGCAAAUGAAUGUUAUUUCAGCCCAAAUAUUUCUGGAAAUUGGUCAGAAGGAUUUCAAAAUAAUUUGGUACAAAUGUUCACUUUAAUAUACAUUGAUGGAUUUUUAUAUAACUUAGUACAAAUGUCCUCCAUGUUGAGUUGUCAAGUGCAAAAUGAAGGUCAAACUUGUAAAUGAAUGUUAUUGUUUUUAGCUCACCUGUCACAAAGUGACAGGGUGAGCUUUUGUGAUCGCUUUUCGUCCGGCGUCCGUCCGUCCGUCCGUCCGUCGUCCGUCCGGCGUCCGUCCGUAAACUUUUACUUUAAAUGACAUCUCCUCAUAAACCACUAAGCCAAUUUCAUCCAAACUUCACAGGAAUGUUCCUUUGGUGGUUACCUUUAAAAAUUGUUCAAAGAAUUUAAUUCCAUGCAGAACUCUGGUUGCCAUGGCAACCGAAAGAAAAAACUUUAAAUAUCUUCUUUUAAAAAACCAUAAGAGCUAGAGCUUAGAUAUUUGGCAUGAAACAUCUUCUAGUGAGUGUCUACCAAGUUUGUUCAAAUAAAAGCCCUGGGGUCAAAAUUGGCCCCGCCCCGGGGGGUCAUUGAUUUUCCCUAUAUGCAUAUAGUAAAAACUUAAAAAAUCUUCUUUUAAAGAACUCAAAGAGCUAUGGCUAAGAUAUUGAGCAUCAAACAUGUUCUAAUAGGUGUCUACCAAGUUUGUUCAAAUGAAAGCCCUGGGGUCAAAAUUGGCCCCGCCCCAGGGGGUCAUUGAUUUUCCCUAUAUGCAUAUAGUAAAAACUUAGAAAAUCUUCUUUUAAAGAACCAAAAGAGUUAGAGCUAAGAUAUUUAGCAUGAAACAUGUUCUAAUAAGUGUCUACUAAGUUUGUUCAAAUAAAAGCCCUGGGGUCAAAAUUGGCCCCGCCCCGGGGGGUCAUUGAUUUUCCCUAUAUGCAUAUAGUAAAAACUUAAAAAAUCUUCUUUUAAAGAACUCAAAGAGCUAUGGCUAAGAUAUUUAGCAUCAAACAUGUUCUAAUAGGUGUCUACCAAGUUUGUUCAAAUAAAAGCCCUGGGGUCAAAAUUGGCCCGCCCCGGGGGUCAUUGAUUUUCCUUAUAUGUGUAUAGCAAAAACUUAAAAAAUCUUCUUUGAAAAAACCCAAAUAGCUAGAGUUAAGAUAUUAAGCAUGAAACAUCUUUUAGUGUGUGUCUACAAAGUUUGUUCAAAUAAAAGACCUGGGGUCAAAAUUGGCCCCGCCCCGGGGGUCAUUGAUUUUCUUUAUAUGUGUAUAGCAAAAACUUAAAAUCUUCUUUGAAAAAACCCUAGAGUUUAGAUAUUAAGCAUGAAACAUCUUCUAGUAAGUGUCUACAAAGUUUGUUCAAAUAAAAGCCCUGGGGUCAAAACUGGCCCGGCCCCAGGGGUGUCAUUGUUUUUAACUAUAUGUGUAUAGUAAAAACUUUAAAAAAAAUCUUCUUUUAAAAAGCCCAAUGAGCUAGAGCUUAGAUGUUUAGCAUGAAACAUCUUCUUAUGGGUGUCUACCAAGUUUGUGCAAAUAAAAGCCCUUGGGUUAAAUUGGCCCUGCAACUUUGGGGUGGGGGUUGGGGGAGCCUAUAUACAGGUGAGCGACCUCAGGGCCAUCAUGGCCCUCUUGUUUGGGUUUGUUUUUUGUUUUUUGCCUUUGACCUCUAAGUGUGACCUUAACCAUUGUCGCAUACACCUGAAUUUUUUGCUGCCACAUUAUGGAGAAUAUAUGUCCCAAGUUAUAUUAAAAUCCCUCCAUCCAUGUAGAAGUUAUGCCCUGGAUAUGGGUUUUGCCCUGACCCCCAAAUGUGACCUUAACCUUUGAGUGGCGGACCUGUGUUUUGUGUGUGACACACCACCCAUGGUGAAUAUUUGUAGCAAAUUAUCUUGAAAUUCUUAAAAAAUUAGCAAGAUAUAGACCGAACAAAUCUGGAUGGACUGACGGACGGACACAUGCAUGGAGGCAUAUACACCAAACUUUAUGCCAGAAAUGAUGACCUAAGUUGAGAUCACCACAAGCAGGCUCAACAAUAACUUGGGAUAAAUGUUCUCUAUAGUGAGGCUGAGUUGUGCACCUUGGGUUUUGCUUGUAUUUUUAUUCAGAAUUUGUUAUUGAGUUAUUGCCUUUGACUUAGUAAAAACCAUUCAAAAUGUUGCGUCACAUAUACCACUAAGUUCUUGAGCUACAGUUAACAAACUUUAUCUCCCUUGACCUAGUAAAAAUUUGCAAUUUUCAACUUGUGUUGCAUUAAGCUCCAAAAGUAUUUGACUGGAGUCAAGAAGCUUUACAGGAAUGUUGGUUUAAACAUAUUUUAUUCAUUACAUAAGCAUAUUUACAUACAUGAUAUUUACAAUCAAUACAAGAAAAGGAUUAGACUAGAAACAACCUAAUGCUUAUUGAAGUCUUUUCCCUAUGUACAAUAAACAGGAAUAUUGAUCAGCAUGUAUAGUUAUGCAUCAUGGGGCUUACUUGCGGAUUGAUUUUGUAUUUGUAGAGUUAUUGCCCUUGACUUAGUACAAAUACUUUUCAAUUUUCAACUUGUGUUUUGUGUUACUUAGAAAGUAUUCGAGCAAGAGUCAUGGAAUUUACAGGAAUGUUGGUCAGCAUGUGUAGUUGUGCAUCUGGCAUUUUUGUUUCUUUUAAUACUCUUUUAAUCAUAAUUUAGGAUAUAAAAUUGAGAUUACAAAUUCUUGCAGCUCAAGUGGGAUCAGGAUGUCAACAUUGAAAAAUUGGAUGUCGUUUUUUAAUGCCAACCACUUUGAGGUAGGGGAAGUCAUGUAGAGUAACCCUUGUCUGUCCCUCAUUCAAACUGUCCUGCUGUACGUCAGUAGACUGACAAAAUAGUGGAAUGUGGGGAGCAUCUGUGUUAUAUGGACACAUUUCUAGUUUUUAAGUGCUUAUUAAAUUUUUUAGUUGACAAAAAUAUUUUUUGUCCAUAUAAAUAAUUUAUAACUCAUAAAUAUUUUUAGAGCAACUUUUUUUUUUAGAUCAAUACUAUGUCUAGUUGUGCAUCUCAUCAACAUUUUUUGUUUAAAUGAUUUUUGUCAGAAUUAUGUCCAUUCAAUGAUUUUAAUUUUUUAAAAUGUGUCCAGACUACUCCUCUUAUACCACUAAAUGCAAUUCAAUAACUUAACAGGAUUGAUCGAUAGCUCAAGUACUUGUGCACAUUACACAGGUUUUCCGGUUCAAAGAUUUUAGCCGAGUUAUUGCCCUUGAAUAAAUAAUGUGUUUUGCCUUGAAAAUGAUUUUUGUGUUGACUGCCACACAGUAGCUGCAACAUACAGUUGGUUAUGAUUAGGCGACACAUGUGAUCACUAAUGGCCCUUGAAGUAUAGAGGAUAUUAUAUGUUUAUAUCAUUUCAUUAUUUUAAAACAAUCUUAUUAACUGAUGUUACUUAAAAUUUGUAAAUUCACCAAAUAACAGUAAGUUGUAAAUGAUGUAUUUAUAUGUCAAUUUUUUAAGGCAAUUUAUCAAAACUUUGGACAAGAAUUAUUUCUAAAGUACGUACUAGCAGUUGUUAAUUUACAAUGCUACCUCUGAUUUGCCAUAUUGUGGGCAGUCUUCUUUAAUUUAAAGACUGAUAUGGGUUGAAGGGCUGAAGUAAUGCGGUUGUAUCUGUUUUAUUAUACAUUUAAACAAAGUUGUUCCAAGGAAGAAAUAAUAUAAUAAGUUGCAGAAAGUUAAGCCCAUGACUACCAGUGCAUUUUUAAAUUGCUGAAUUUUAAAAGCUUUAAAUCAAGGGAGGUAAUAUGCCCAAAAAUAUUAUAUUUAUGUUAAAGCUUAGAUGUUUUGCAUGAAGCAUGCCUUGUUGACAUCUACAAAAUUUAUAUAAAUGGUGCUCAAGUGGUCAAUAUUGGCCCUGCCCCACAGGUGACAUUGAUAGAAAAACUUAUUUUCAUUUAUUAGCUCGACUAUUCGAAGAAUAUGAGAGCUAUUGUAGUCGCCCCGGCGUCCGCGUCGGCGUCUGCGUUGGUUAAAGUUUUUUGUAAAGUCAAAUAUCUCAAUUAUUGCUUGAGAUAUUCAAUUGAAACUUACAAUACUUAUUUAUAGUAACAAGGUACAUCAGAUUGACAAGUUUGAUAACUCUGCUAACAAUAUUGACAGAAUUAUGCCCCUUUUUAACUUAGAAAUUUUGGUUUAAGUUGUUUUGUAAAGUCAAAUAUCACAAUUAUUGCUUGAGAUAUUCAAUUGAAACUUACAAUACUUAUUUAUAGUAACAAGGUACAUCAGAUUGACAAGUUGGAUAAUUCUGCCUACAAUAUUGAUAGAAUUAUGCCCCAUUGGAACUUAGAAAUUUUGGUUAAAGUUUUUUUGUAAAGUCAAGUAUCUCAAUUAUUGCUUGAGAUAUUCAAUUGAAAUUUAAAAUACUUUUUUAUAGUAACAAUGUACAUCAGUUUGCAAAAUUGCAUAACUCUGCCUGCAAUAUUUGCAGAAUUAUUUGCCCCUUUUAAACUUAGAAAUUUUAGUUAAAGGUUAAAGGUCUUCAAAGAUAUAUGUACUUACGGUCAUAAUUUGAGGGUCAUAAUUGUAUGUCACUGACCAAGUUCCAUAACUCUAUCUUGCAUUUAUGCUGAUUCAUAUCCCCUUUUCUCUUGGUUAAUGAUUACAUGCAAGUUUUACAAAUCUCAAUAACUAUUAAAGAUAUUUAUUUAAAACUUAACAUAUGCAUUUAGGGCCAUAAUUGUAGGUCACUGACAAAGAUUCAUAAUUCUAUCUUGCAUUAAGGCUGAUUUUUCUCCCCUUUUUUCAACUUAGAAAUUCAUGAUAAAGUUUUGCUUGUAAACUGUUAUCUCCAUAACUAUUGAAGGGUUUGUGCCUUUUUUGGGACAAUUUUAUGCAUUCAUAAUAAGAAAGCAGUGAUUUACUUGAUAAAACAUCUUAAUAACAAGCCUUUGUUCCUUUUCUGUCAAGUUUAUGUAUUCAUAGGUAAUUAGUAUUAUUAUACUCAAUAAAACACCCUUGUGACAUUACCUUCCGAAUAGUCAAGCCAAUACUGUAUAAUAAGACUCUCUCUCAAGGCCUAUAACAUGAAUUUAUAAAAAAUUAGCCCUUUUGUGAACUUAGAAAAUUUAAAUUAUCAAGGCUCUUUUACCAUCAAGCUCUUAGAAUAGUCGAGCGUGCUGUCCUACCGACAGCUCUUGUGUAUUCUUACAGUUACAAAUCCCAGUUAUUUGAUAUGUAUCGUUACAUAUAAGAACCCUGCAAUUGUCCCAAAAAUCAUUUCACUAAUAUUAAGAAAUGGCUGUGCACAGUGGGUUGGUGGGGGGAUGGGUAGGUUUCUCACAGUUUACAUGUACAUGUAUACAGAUUUAUAUACCAUAGUAUACAUGUACAUGUUUUUAAAGUCGUUUUCUAUAACAUGCAUAGCAUAGAUUUUUAGCAUGUAUCAUCUCUUUGUAAAAGAAGACUUAUCAGUUUAUUAUAAGAUGGAUGUUUGUUGAGUAUUGAUGUUAUAAAUGUAAAGGGAGGUAAUAAAAAAAGAAGAAAAUUAUUUUUAAGCAUAGCAUUUUGAUUAUGUUUUGUGCUUUUGAAUUUCUGGUAUAAUAUUAUUUACAUGUUGUUAUCCUGCGCCGAAAGGCGGCGGGGGAUAUAGAAAUAGUCUCCGUCUGUCCUUCCUUUGAGCAUAUCUUAAAAAGCAAUUGAGGUAUCAACUUGAAAUUUCAUAGGUGGAUAGAUCAUAUUGAGGAGGAUUGCAGUGCACAAGAAUGAUAACUCUGCCCUGCAUAAUUUUUCAGUUACUGCCCUUUGUUAUUUUUCAAACUUAAUUUUUGUCCAGACUUGCAUAACUCAAAAAGCCUUUGAGAUAUCAACAUGAAACUUCUUAGGUGGAUAGAAUUUACUUAAGAGGAAUGCAGUGCAGAAAAAUGAUAACUCUACCCUUCAGAAUUUUUGUGUUAUUGCCCUUUGUUAUUUUUUUCAUACUUAAUUUUUCACCUGAGUGGAGCAUAACUCAAAAAGUCUUUGAGAUGUCAAUAUAGGUGGAUAGAUCUUAUUGAGGAAGAAUGCUGUGCACAAAAAUGAUAACUCUUCCCUUUAUAAUUUUUGAGUUAUUGCCCUUUAUUAUUUUUCAUACUUAUUUUUUUCCUGAGUGGAGCAUAACUUAAACAAAAACUUUGAGAUGUGGACAUGAAGCUUCAUAGGUGGAUAGAUCUUAUUGAAGAGGAAUGCUGUGCACAAGAAUGAUAACUCUACCCUUAAUAAUUUUUUAGUUAUUGCCCUUUUUUAUUUUUUAUACUUUUUGUCCGGAGCUUAUCUCAAAAAGUAUAACAGGUAUAAACUUCAUAGGUGGAUAGGUCUCAUUGAGGAGGAGUGCAGUGCACAAGAAUGACUAUGCUGCAUAUUUUUUCAGUUAUUGCCCUUUGUUAUUUUUCAUGUGGAUUUUUGUCCAGACAGUAACUCAUUAAGUAAUUACUAUAUAAGGUAUUCACUUGAAACUCAAAAUAUAACAUAGUCUCCGUCCGUCUGUCCUUCCGUCUGACAUUUUUGUCUGGAGCAUAUCUCAAAAAGUAUUUGAGGUUUCAACUUGAACUUUCAUAGGUGGAUAGAUCUCACUCAAGAGGUGUGCAGUGCACAAGAGUGAUAACUCUACCCUUCAUAUUUUUUGAGUUAUUACCCUUUGUUAUUUUUCAUACUUAAUUUUUCACCUGAGUGGAGCAUAACUCAAAAUGUCUUUGAGAUGUCAGCAUGAAACUUCAUAGGUGAAUUUAUCUUAUUGAGGAGGAAUGCUGUGCACAAGAGUGAUAACUUUACCCUUUAUAAUUUUUUAGUUAUUGCCCUUUGUUAUUUUUCAUACUUUUUGUCCGGAGCUUAUCUCAAAAAGUGUUAGAGAUAUCAACAUGAAACUUCAUAGGUGGAUAGAUCUCAUUGAGGAGGAGUGCAGCACACAAGAAUGAUAAUUAUUACCUAUCCUGCAUUAUUUUUUCAGUUAUUGCCCUUUUGUUAUUUCAGCCAUCAGUAUUCACAUAGGUUUCAAAUCUGUAAUCACUUCAGCCAUCAGUUUUCAUUACCAAAAGACCUCUUAAAAUUGAAUUAUUCUGCUCUACUACAUAUACAUUCUUCCAAUGAGCAAACACAUUCGGCGGGGGAUGGCCAUGUUAACAAAUUGGUUCUUGUUUCUUUUUGAAUUUUCAUUAAUUGAAAAAAAUAAAAAUAAUAAACAUGAUAGUUUUUUUAAUCAGUAUAUAUCCUCUGUGACAAUUGCACGGAAGUAAAUAAUCACCACUCUGUGCUUCGAAAUUAGCCUUUUUAGGGCAUGACUGGACAGGUGACAUAUCAGGGGUCUGUAUUCCAAAGCAAAAGCUGUGGCAUAUUAUUGUCACUAAGUAAUUAUGUGACAAGAGAUAUAGAUCUUAAUAUUAUUGAUAAUUGAAAUAAAACAUAUUUUGGACAAAUAUUAUAAACUGGUAUCCUCUCUGUUUGAAAAUUAUUUUUGGUUACUCUAUUUGUUUUUUCUUAAAACAAAUUAGCAUUCGGACUUAUAUUGCCUGGCUAAUGCAGUGCUCUUGUAAUGUAAACAGUUCUGAUUUUGAAUAUAUAUGAUAUUCUUGUAGGUUGAUUACUAAAUUUUUUGAACUCAUUGAAUAAAAAUAUGCUCACCAGAGACUGGCAUAAUAUAAUUUUAUUCAAUUUUUUUAAUGAAUUCAGUAUUGAAUAUACACUUAUUCAAUAUCCUCUAUUUAAAUAAAAAUCUGUAUGUUUACAUAAGUGAAAUGUUGAUAUAAUAUGUUGAUUUAAUGUUUAUCAGAGCUGCAUUACUGGUACUGCAAAAGUGAAGGCAACCAGGUGUGAAAAGCAACAAAAGACUGUUAUGUUUUAAAUGAAAGAUGAUUGCAUUGUAUUGCAGUUGACUGGUUACUAAACAAUAAGAUAUGAGAUAUGACAUGAACAUAUGUUGAAAAUAUUGGUUGUAAAAUGUAUGUUAAGGUAGACCAUGGGUAAUGUAUUACCUCUACUUUGAAGAGUAUUCAAAUAGGCUAGAAUCACUUGCCAACUACAUUGAGUGUGCGCGGUUCAAACCCCAGAAGGGGCAACUUUUUUUUUUCUUUCUUUUUUUCUUUUCAACAUUAUUUAUGUAUUUCUCUGAUCCCUUAUGGAAGAAAAAAUGGUUUGAUUUAAAUAAUAUAAUAAUUGUAGGUAUUUGUUGGCUAAAUAAUGCCAAAAUUUAUAGCAAAUAUGAUACCAGAUAUUUUCAAAGUUUAAUAAAUUAAAAACUACACGGUAAAAGUAUUUUAUAUUUCGCAUGAUCAACCAAUAUACCUUUAAGGAAAUUUGAGCAAAGUUUGAAAACAGCCCCUCAUUAUGGUAAAUUUUAGGGAUAUUUUGAAUAAGGCAUUUUAGAUAGGGUCCAAUUGGUAAAAUUAGUGUUUAAAGUGGGUGGGUUAGGGUAACAUUUUUGUACAUAUUAAGAACAUUUUGUUUAGAAACAAACAUUUUGUUUGUGUAAUUUGUUACCUGAAUGUUAUUAUUUGUUUCUCAACAAUGACCAAUAGAAAAACAUUUUUUAUAAUGAUGAUAAUUUACAGAUUAUUUAGAGUUUCCUCAUUUCUAAAAAUAAGCCCUUCUAAUGGCAAAGUCUUAGUUCUGAAAUAUAUCCAUAACUCGUAAACCUCAAGGUAAAUUUUAUUUAAAUUUUGCAUACAGGUGACCUUAAAGACAUAUAACUGUCCUAUGUUGUCAAUUUUACAGUUCCUUAUUGUGCCCAUUACCCAUGGUCUACCUUAAAUCAUUAAAGUUGUAAAAAUGUAUUUUUUAAAGUAAAUAAUAAUUCCUUUUAUUUUGCUGAAUAAUGUUUGCAUUUUUGUGCCCCCACUAUAGGGGGGGUGGGGGCAUUUAGAUUUACCCUUGUCCGUUCAUCCGUCUGUCCAUACAAACCCAGAGGUACUUGUGUGACUUGGAGAACAAUGGGUAACAGUAAAUUCUCUUUGAUCCUAUUCAUUCCGUUUUUACUUUUUGUGUGACUAAAAAUGGCCAAAAAGAUCAAAGGAAAAGUCACAUAAGUACCAUUUUGUGAGUAUGUCCGUCCGUCUGUUCCCUUUUUGUGUCGCACGUAGCUCAAAAAGUAUUUGACCUAGAGUCAUGAAAUCUUAAUGGAAUGUUGAUCAGCAUGUGAAGUUGUGCACCUGGGUAUUUUGGUAUUGAUAUUUUUAGUAUUUUUAGAGUUAUUGCCCUUGAAUUAGUAAAAAUGUGCAAUUUUCAACUUGUGUCGCACGUGACUAAAAAGUAUUUGACCUAGUGUCAUGAAACCUUACUGGAAUGUUGAUCAGCAUGUGUAGUUUUGCACCUGGGUAUUUUCGUGUUGAUAUUUUUAGUAUUUUUAGAGUUAUUGCCCUUGAAUUAGUAAAAAUUUCCAAUUUUCAACUUGUGUCUCAUGUAUCUAAAAAAGUAUUUUACCUAGAGUCAUGAAACCUUACAGGAAUGUUGCUCAGCAUGUGUAGUUGUGCACCUGGGUAUUUUCGUAUGGAUAUAUUUUUAAUAUUUUUAGAGCCCUUGACUUAGUAAAAAUUUACAAUAUUUAACUUGUGUUGCACGUAACUCAAAAAGUUUAUGACCUGUAGGCCUGAAAGUUUACAAGAAUGUUGGUCAGCACGUGUACUCAAAAAUAUGCACCUUGGGGUUUUCUUGUUGAUUUAUUCAGUAUUUGUAGUACUUGCCCUUUACUUAAUAAAAGAUUUUUAAUUUUCAACAUGGGCACAUGUAGCCAAAAAAAAAUUUGACCUAGAGAUAUAAGAUUGACAAAUCGGUGGAGUGUGGGGGCACCCGUGUCCUAUGGACACAUUUCUAGUUUUUGAUAAGAAGUGUACACAUGUGAAAUGGAAAUAAUUGUUUAAAAAAAAAAAUCAUUUAAAUUAUGUAAAUAUACAUGAUAUGCUAUUUUUGUUUAACAGUGUGUAUUGAUUCAAACUAUGAUGAAUAUAUAAAAGUAUUGGUACUGAUACUUAAUGACUUAAUUACUUCCUUAAAAAUGUACUGUUACUGCAGUACUGAGCUAAAAUCUAGUAUUGGUACUGAUAAUGGUACUGCUUAACUUGGCAAGUACUGGUACUGGUACUUAAGUACUACACCAUUAGUAAUUACUGAUGUUUAUUUUAUAUGCAUAUUAGCCUAAAAUAUAAAGAAAAUAUUUCAUUAUAUUGUAUAUGUAUAUUUCUUUCUAUUUCUAAGUAUACUGUGCUCCUCUUAGUUCACGGUACUUAACACUUUGAAAGCAGAAAGAAAACAACUAAUGAAACUUAUGGUAAAAAAGUUGUCAUAAGCUAUAACUUAUAGGUAUUUUCUGCUGUAACAACACUAUAUUCGGUAGACCAUAUGUCGGCCAUUUUGAAAACAGUAUGUCAUCAUUUAAAUCACGGUAAUGGUGUUACAUUUCAGUUUUUUCAUGUUUCAGUUAAACUUUCUACAUGUUUUUUUGCUUAAUUUUUAAUAUUAAAACUUUAUUUCAUGCUUUCCAGUGUUUUAUUGUGAUAUAUCAGAUGAUUAUAUUUUGAUAAACCACUAGAGAAAUUUAUAAAAUAUAAUUUUCACUGUAGCCGGACUAUAUCUGAAUGCGGAUGAAAAGAGAAUCAUUACUAAAUGGAAUAACAGGCAGAAAUGAAUGCUGUCAUGUGUAAAUUUUGCUUCUUUAGGAAAAGAAAGUCGAUGUCACCAUAAAUCAUGCUAAAAAUGUAACAAAAUUAGAGAAAUUUAACAGAACUAUGUUUCAAAAUUGAUGAUGUGACGUCAUGAUGUGAUGACGUCACAAAGGAGAAUGCGCGACGUUACGCGGCAAAAUCAGUAAAAAAUACUAAAAAUCACUUAAAAAGCAUGAAAUAAAAAGAAAAUUUAUUUGUUUUACAUAUAAGAUUGAAAUAUAUUUCAUUCGUGAACACCAGCUAUUAUAUUUUCACUCGUGGCUACGCCACUCGUGAAAAUAUUGCAUCUGGUGUUCACUCAGUGAAAUUAUAUUUCAAUCUUACAUGCAAAACAAACAAAUAUCCUCUAUAUCUUUACCUUGUCAUUCAAAAUUUAUUUUUUCAACAAACAAGAAUAUUUAGAAAAUGAUGAUUGUUUCCAAUGUAUGCACAAAUUUAAUGGAGUAUUGUUGCUUUUUGCAGAAGUUUGUAAAAUGUUGUUCUGUUUUACAUAAAAAUCAAGAGAUUUAGAUUAUUUUGCACAAAAACUUUGUUGUUUAUGUGUUUGAAUAAAAUAUGUCAAUUCUGAUCAUUUUUAACACUGGUCACAUGAAAAUAUGCCAUUUCCGUGAAAUAAGUGAUGACGCGGAAUUAGUGAUGUUGAGUAUAUAUUUUGUUUUUUAUGUAUAUAUAACUUGAAGCUGGUCUUCAAAUAUGUGAUAAUUUUAUUAAUAUGCAAAGUUUCUAAAGUUCUGUUACUAAAUACGUGUAUGUAGUAGUAAGAACUAAUAAACGUCUUUUAGAGAAAAA